Molecule: long non-coding RNA, 11960 nt
Organism: Haplochromis burtoni (Burton's mouthbrooder)
Lineage: Eukaryota; Metazoa; Chordata; Actinopteri; Cichliformes; Cichlidae
Exons: 3
Source: RefSeq, a predicted model, not a curated record
ACUUUCAGCUUGUUGUGUUUGUGGAUAUAUGACUGACUUUAAUUAUCCACAAAAUCAUCAGAUUCUCUGUAAGAUUAAGGUCAAGUAUCGAACGGCGUAUAAAGUAAAAGCUUUAAAACAAAGUAAACGCUGAAAGAACAAACAUCGCUAAAGUCACAUAACUUUGCCGGCAUGUGGCCACAAGUAAUGUUUUAAUGUUUUUCGUUAUUAAACAUUUGCACAUAAAUAAAUGACAUAAUAUUCAGAACUUACUUUUGAAAGUUUACUCUUUGGCCGCUCCGCUUCCAUUUCUUUGAAGUGUCUCCCAGUCCCAGUGCACUUGUUAGCAUGUUUUGGUUCGUGCAACUGGUCCGUCCGGUUAUUGUCUCCCCAGAAACAUUUCCGUUGUGUUGUGUGUGCUUUUGCAGCGUUUUUCUUUUUGCAGCGUUUUCCUUUUUGCAGCAUUUUUCUUUUUGCAAGUGUUCUCUGAAGUUGCAGUCCGUUUGGCCUCUCAGGGCCACCAUAUUAAAAGCUUCAGAUUAUAUAAAAUAAUUUAAUAGUAAGAUAUUUAAAAGAUGCAGGUAGCCAUUAUACCAUUUUAGUCCCCCUUAUUUUUUUUAGUCGCAAGAAUCAAAUAAAAAUGUCACUGAGACCUUUUGUUUUCUCACUACACCAACAAGAGGUUCAAUCUGGCUUCCGAUUCAAAAUAAUACUCUACAAAAAAUAUGUAUUUAAGAGCCAUUUUAAAUAAUUAAACCGCCUUUUAAAUGCUUCUGCAAUGUUUGUCACUUUUAGCUAUGCAUAAUAUAAUCACAUUCAGAAAAACAAGAUAGUGAGUGUGAGAAAACAUUGGCAGUGUUAGCACUAGCAGCAUUCGUUGUAGUGCUGCUAGUGCUAGCAAAUAUUGUAUUACAUGUCUUUACUGACAGGGUAAUAACUUUUUAUAUCAGACCUGGCUGGCUCUUGCACGGUUCUUGGGCUGCUUAUUCAGUCCAUUGGUUGUCUCUGACCUCCCCACAUGAGGCUAAUACAAAAUUAGCAUUCAAACGUAAAGAAGGAUACAUCAUGCUUUUGUGAAUUUUGUGGGAAAUCACAAAGCUGGACUUUACUGCACUAUCCAGCUUGGUAAAAAUUGUUUUUGCUUUUGCAGCUUUGCUAGAAAGGUUUCCAGUGUCUAUCCCUGCUCUGCAUCGGUACAGCUUUGCUGUAAAUCCACUCUACAUAGAAUGUAGCUUUUUAACAAAACAUGUACAGAAAGUAUUUAUUUGAAUUCAGGAAUACAACAACAUGACUGAUGCAACACAGGAAUGGACACUGCUGUGAAAGCAGCAAGUUUCAGAGGGAUGGAGCAGUCAAGGCCAGGUUUGUCAUCUUCCACAAAAUCGCAAAAUACAUAAAAUCAUUCUCUGAUGGGGAGUUUAUCAUAGUGUUUGCUGAUAUGCCCUGAGAAAAAUUAAGGAUUUGUGAAUGUGCCCCUCUCCAAGUGAAUCCCAAAAGAUAGAUUAACCACAUUAUAGCAAAAUCAGGAUCUUCAUUUGAAAAACAAAGCAGAUAUUGGACAAGACUCUGGCCAACAACUGUGAUGUCUACAAGACAACCAAGUUCCUCUUCUUUAUACACAGAAUAACAAAACUGUGUCAGAUUGCAGAGCAGCUGGCAGCAAUGCUGCUGCUGAAAACUGAUGGCCGUCCAAAUCUGACAGGAAGAAAUGACUUUUGACAAUGGACUGACAUGAACCCAGAACUGAAACUGGUAUUUGUGCACUGUAUCAUUCACCAAGAGGUGUUGUGCAAGUCAAUGCUAAAAAAUUAACCAUGUUGUUGAUGUAACUAAAAUAGUUAACUUCAUCAGGGUGAAAAGCAAUGAAUCACGGACUUUAAGUCAGUAUCACUGCUGUUUUUUUAUUCUGCUCACAAAAACGAGAACUUUCCACACAUACAAAGAUAUUCUCACAUAAUGCUGGUUUUCUUUUGCAUGUGAACAAACAUUAUUUGUGAUAAAGUUUAACAAAACUAGACAUGGAUAAUCUCUGUCUGCUAUCCUUUGCAUUUCCAUCUCAUUUCAAAGCUGACACCAGUGCACCCGUUAAAGCCAAUAAUAAACUAAAUUUGUCUCAUAAAACAAGAAAAAAGACCUAAAUAACUGCAAAAAACAACAACAAACAAAUUAGCAACAGUACCUUGUUAAAAAAUGCACAUUUUGUUCCAAAUUGCUUUUGGUAAUGUUGAAUAGUUUUACAUUUGGGUUCAGUUCAUUGGUGCGCAGCCCAUCACAGCAGUCAUAAAUUCUCAUGUGGCUGGUUGGGAAAAUGAAUUGUCCUCCCCUGUUCUAUAUCAAAGUUACAUACAUACAGUGUUAUUUAGAUAUUUACAUUACACUGUUUCUCAUAUUUAUUGUGAAAUAUUGAAAAGCUGGAUAAAAUUCUUUUUAAAAAUUGAAAGAACUUUUUUGUGCUUAUCAGCCCACUGAUCAUGUAACACAAAAAGUCAGCUUGAAUGAAUGGUCUGUGUAGCUGCUAUGAAGCUUUCUUCAGGUGUUGUGAAUGUGUGCUUUUAACCUGGUUUGCCCUGAGAUUAAUGGCAGAUGCUGAUCUCAAGACUGCAGGAGUAAUGAUGUGAUCUGUGGUUGGUGUAUAAAAAGAGUUUUCUGUCAAUUUCUGACAGAAAGUAUACUUAGAGCACAAGUGACUGCUAAUGUGACUUUUGUUUUUUAAUGAUCAAGUUCACUCCUGUGAUAACCUAUGAGUAACAAAUGUGUUGAUGACAAAGGGAAGAGAUUCUGUAUGUGGGAAUGCUCUUUUUUGUCACGUUCUGUGCUUGUGAUGAUGGUGAAACAGUCAGCUCUCACAUGAUGUGAUUUUCCCUUUUUAGGGGUUUGCAAAAAAAACCAAAACAAAACAACGACAAAAAAAAAAAAAAAAAAACACGGACAAGUGAGAUACAGAUGCCUGCAAAAUUACAGUUUAGGGGUUGCUGUCAUAAUUUCUAACCUAGUUAGAACAUGACCAUGAUAAAUAUUGAUGUCAGUAAGCUUGAACCAGUUUGUUUAAAAUCGUUAUUAAAAGAUAACUAAAACAGGAGUCUACUUAAGAUGUAUUUUUGCAUGACACAAUGAAAACAGCACAGAUUUGUUUUGUUUGUGCACCACAUUAUCAAUACACUUACAGAAACAGCCACUUAAAACGGCCACCUGAUCAGUGACAGCACUUUGAUGGAUCUAUAGUGGAAUCCUGACCGAUUGCCGGCUGAUGGGUGGCCGUAAUGAUAUCCCCCAUCUGUGACUUGGAUGGUGCAACCCUGAGCCGUAAGCGACAUCUAUGAAAAACAGUGGUAAUGUCUUGAGUAUCCACCAGGGGUAGCAGUGUGGAGGUGCAUUCAUUUACAGACUUGCUACACCAUAUAUUUAAAACCUCUUCAGUUUGUUCAGGAAUUCAGCCUUUCUGUCAAAGAUUUAUAGAGACAUAUGUUUGCAGCAAAUAAAAUACAGGUUGUGCACGCCAGACAAGCCAGACAUAUUGAUUGAUUGAUUGACUGGUAAUUUAUUUUAACAUGUGAACAAUAUACAAGUACAUUUAGAAAAGAAAAUAGUACAUUUAGAAUGGAAAAUAUAAGAUAUAUAUAUAUAAAGUGAUGCUUGCAUUCUAUGAUUAUUACUAACUUGUGUUUCUGCCAGAUAUAUCUGGCACUUUGUUCUAAAUAUUUCUGAUGAUGAACCACAACGCUCUGGGACCAUGCUUAAAACUAUUGGUAAUUCUUACCAUUUACAAAUAAAUUAACAGUUAUAGCGGUAACGGUCACAGUCAUGCCUGCUUACUCAAGUUGUCUGCCGCUAAUCUUAAUAUAUCAUGUUUGCAAAUAAUUAAAUACUGUGGUUCAAAAACUUUACUCUGGGGAAGGGACAUUCUAAAUCCAACAUCUGGUACAUGUCCCGUAAAUCAGUGUCCAAUCUGCAGUAUUUAUUUAUUUAGUUAUAGGUGAAAACACUCCACAUGCUUACAGGUAGGAGAGAAUUAACAGUUUUUAGUGUUGAACCUGGUCUUAAUGUAUUCCAGGAAUAACUACCAGUUGUUCAGUAUUUACGGAACAAUUUUCUUAAAAGUAUUCUAUAACAGUUUUCCCAAACGUAAUGACACAAUUACCUUACGAACCUAGCAGGGCCUGUCCUGAAACUCCCCUGGUGUAGGUGUGCUCUUUCUCUCCUCUUUCAACCCGGACACUUUUCGUUACUUUCUCUCCCCUGGACCUCUUUAGGGGACCAUAUCAAGUUAAAAUGAGAGAUUUUUGCUUUUCGUCUUAGUGCUUGUUGUUCAGCAUCCGUGCAUAUCGUCACCUUUUAAAAUAUAGAGAAAUUAUGGGUCACUCAAGACAAUAUAAAACACACACAAUAUAAAACUUUAAAGAAAUCUAAGAAACAAAAAAUCUAAGUAUUAAGUUGGAACCUAACAGAAAAAAACAAAGGACAAGCUUAUAAUUCACACAUAAGUACAACUCAGUAAACAAUAGGCUAGGUGGAAAAAUACUAGCUGACAGCUGGCUGACCUCUGGCUGAAAGCAGCAAUUUUGAGUGGCUGUAUCUGUACUUAGUGCAUAAUUCUCUGAGCAAUUUAAGGUUGCAGUUUAAAAAUUGUCAUUAUUUACUACGUUUUUCACAUUAUACGAUCACAUUGAUGAUUGUAUUGUUUACCUAGUUGAUGAUUUUCUGAUCUUACUGGAGGUUGAGCAUACAGUUCUUACUGUUGUGGUAUAUAUUUAUCAUAUCAUUUCAUUGAGAGAUUGCACAAUUGUUCAUAAACAGGUUAAAUGAGAAUUCCAAGGUACCAAUCAUUUGUUCUGACUUUUAUGCUAUGCACUACUGUCAUUUGUUUAUUGUUUGUCUUUUCUGGAGACUGAAUAUUGGUAUUUGCCAAAAUCCAUAUGGUUGUGUGCCAGUUUCAGAUAUUUACAAGUUGCCUUAUUUGUUGCAUAAUAUAAAUUUUGUGCAGAAGUAUCUGAAAUUGCCCUAAUAUGAGUGUGUAGAUAACUGAUACUAGGUACUUUGUGUGUAUGUAGCUUGUAGUGUUAAAGUACUUUGGGAAGAUCUCUUUUUCUCUUUUGGGGGGAUUACUGGUCAUUUAUGCAAAAACUUUCUUUUAAGCAUAGUAAGCAUUUCAAUAUUUUUAGGUACUUUUCUCUAGAGUUGAGUUGAGUUUUCUCUAGGUGAAGCCCAAGACAAAGUUAAAAGGUUACUGAUAUGUAAAUAGCUAAUAUGCGUACAAAUUUAAUGUUCACCAGUAUUGACCAAAGGUAGCUCCUGUUACACAGGCCAGUCUUGCAAGGCUCAUUCUUUUAAAAUCACUGUAGGUGACAACGGAAAGAUGUAGUGUAUUUCUUUUCUAUCCAAAAUUCUAUCCAAAGGGGAUAAAACUCCAGUAACUGGAGGAAGUGAACUACACACAUUUUGGCUGGUAGACAACCUGCACUACAACCUGACCCACAGCCACCUCAUUUAUCUCCUACUGUUGUUAUAUUCAUCCUGCUACACUGGAAGACUGACUAGAAGAUCUUCUGAAAUAGUGGAUAAAGGUUUCCAGAUCACCAAAGAGCAAGUUUUAUAUUCAGUUUUGACACACCUUAGUUCAUGACUUUCUCAAAUUUUAAAAAGAAUGACUAAAGAAGAUGAAAGAGUGACUGUGCAACUUUUUUGUCUUGAGGGGGGGCUAUCUAUCUUUAUGGGAUUUUAAUGGGGGGAAGUGAUCUGCAUUAUCGUGACUUGCUGUACCUGACUAGAACUGAUGUUGCAGAUAGGAAAUAACAAUUCUUGGCCGAGCUUAAAAAUUUUAACAGGCAAGGUAAUGGGGGGUUAACUAUUUGUGUUACUGGUGUGUGUUUUAAAGACACACCAGUAUGAAGAGCCUGCCGGUGGCCUCCCAGUAUGAUAAAGACCAGCACUACACCAAUUACAACAGUAUAACUUUAUUAUCUGAAAAGAAUCAACCCUGUUUUGCCUUCUUUGUCUUAUAAUUAGACCCAAGUCAGGGAAGAAGAGAUGGAGGUUUUAUGGAUACCCCUCAUAUUCAGUCCGUUAAAAAAUACAUCACUUAGCUUUGGGUUGAAUAUAGGUUUUAUAAAUAUUCUCGUCAGGGCAGAUUAUCUCAUUUAAUACAAAAAUACUAAUACCGAACAACUAUGAUAUUUCAGACAGAGACUCAUUCUCAUAUUUCCCUUUUCUGAAUCAUCUGAAUACAUUUCUUUUAGGAUUUCAUAACCAGGUGCUCUCUAACCUCCAUGAUUAAACACACACACAUAACUUUCUAAUGUUUAGCAUUAGGACAUCUCAAAGUGAUCUUGAUCUCAACUACACCUUUUGCAAAAAUAAAAAUUGUCUUUAGAGGCUACCUUUGAUACCCUCCAAAUCCACAUUCACUCUUUACAUUUUAUUUAUUAAUGAUUUUUAUGAUUUAUGUUUCAGGAACUCUACACCAUAACUACAUAUGUGUUUGCCACAACUGACCAGAACAAAGAAUGGAGACCCAAUACGGAAAAAGUUCCAUUGUUUUAUCUGUUUCUUCAUUCAAAAAAAUGAAUGAGGUAAAUUGUUCAGUUUUAUAAUUAUUAUUUAUCUUCAGCCUAAAAGAUAUUUUUUCCAAUAAAGUCUACUUGAUUGUGUCUGGUAUUAUCUGUACAGAAUACUAAUGUGUUACUUAGUUCUGUCACUUAAUCUUUAAGUUAACAUUAGGAUAACAUUUAGGAUUGGCAUACUUCUUAAAUCCACAAGGUGACAGUAAUGCAACAACAGUUGUCAUAAAAACCUCAAGAGAAAAAAGGUUAAAAUGAUUCAUAAUACAUAUGCUCAAACCUUCAACCUUUAUGGUUUGCCGAAACCUGCUGAUCUUCAUAUUUUUGAGUUACGUAAGAGAUUUUUCUUUUUUUGUGAUUGUUUUUUGUAAUAUCUUCAUAUUGAGCAUAGUUGUAUUUUGUGAUUGUGGAAUAUGACAUUUGUAUAUUUUUCACACACAAUAGUGGAUUUUGGACAAAUCAGACAUGUCUGCUUUUGUCAAAGGGAACAUGUUACUGCAUUACAUGUUACUACAACAAAUCCAUUUAUAUACAAUUUUCUGCGUAGUCUAAAGGGAGAUUGCAUUUCUAUUUUGUGUUCCCCUUCUCACUGAUCUUUGUCUGCAGAUCCAGAGCCCCUUAAGAUACUUCCUAUACAAACCCAGGAUUGUAAAGCAAGCAUCCAGGAAAUGUUGGGUGUUUGGUAAAAGAAGCUGCAUAAAACCAGAUACUUUGGGCUGUUCUGUUAGUGUAAGUGUAACUACAUAUUCUUACAGAACACAGUGGUACAUACUGUAGUAAUACAGAUGCGGCAGUCCAAUAUGGCAGUCAACCAAACCGGUUUGACAACCUGUUUAACAGGUUUCGUGCGUGUAUGCAUGCGCGUUCAGGUGUGCUCGGGGUGAUAUGUGUUUAUGUGUUUUUAACUGUGUUUUAAUUUCAUCAAACCAUGGGGUUUAAUAAUGGCGGGUCUCAACAUUCAGUUAUGCAGACAUAUGUGUUCUUAAAAGCAAUUCUUUGUUUUGUGUGGCGGAGUGGAAGCCGUUUUGUUUCACAGUGCACCUUAACAAACCUGGAAUGGGUACUUGCUUUUUAUUUGCAUCUAGUCAAAAGUGUUACUAAUUGUGUUUUAAUCACACUAAUUUUUUGAUUCUGAAAAUGUCUCAGCAUGCAGUGAUGCAUGCAUUUUAUUUAAAAACAAAACGCCACAAAUGGGAAUUUCUUCUGUAUGGGAAAUUUCAGCCUUCGGGACUGUUCACAAGUAUUUCUUUUAAUCAAACCACUAGUUUUAAUUUAACUAGUUUUUACGUAUCUACUGGGGUUUCUUUCACGGGGUGAUGCGAUCAUUUUAUUUAAAAAUCGGGAUUUCAGAAUGUUGAACCAAGAGGGAGACAGAGCCAGCUAGUUUUUUAACACAGUAGAUGGUCGCAAAUAACAUUCAGCCCCUUUGGAAAAUAAACGCUUUUGUGGUAGCUCUAAAACACAUUGCACAGGAUCAGCAAGUAUCACUCUUUCAAACUAAUUGUGUUUUAAUCACACUAAUUUUGUCAUUCUGAUGUCUCAACAUGUGGCGAUGCAAGCAUUAUAUUUAAAAAACAGAUCAAAUGGGUAUUUCUUUUGUACGGGUAUCAAAAUCUACCAGCUUUAAUACAAUAGGUGGUCACAAAUAACAUUCAGCCCCUUUAGAAAAUAAACGCUAUUGUGGUAGUUCUAAAACACGUUGCACAGGAUCUUGUCUUUUGCCCGAAGCAGCCAAUAUUGCUCUUUCAAACUAAUUGUGUCUUAAUCACACUAAUUUUGUGGUUCUGACUAUGUCUCAGCAUGCAGUGGCACAAACAUUUUAUUUUAAAAACAACACAAAUGGGUACUUCUUCUGUGCGGGUUUCAGAGUAUACUAGUUUUUAACGCAAUAGGUGAUCACAAAUAACAUUCACCCUCUGUCUUUCAACAGCUAAUUGUUUGAAAUUGUUCAGGAAUGCAAAAGCCCUCCGGGGGUAUCAUUUAAUUGUUGUGAUUCCUUAGGAUGGCCAGUUACACCGGUGCUCAGCAACUGCGUGCCCCACCCCAGCAUAGUUCAAGCACCCUCAUUGUUUUAAACUUGCACAGCAAGGUGAUGCCCUGCAGGUGUAUCGACCCCAGAUUCAUCGAAACUCUCUGUUGUUUUGGAAGCACUAGGUCCUAUAUAAAGCUUUCCUCAGAGCCUGAAACCCUUCGCCAUUUUCGCCUCAGGAACCUGCCGCGGAGCAGACCAUUUUCUUUAUAACAUGGACAGCGUAAACGGUAAGUAAAACAAGGCUAUUAUUAUUGUAUUUUUAAAUAGGAUAUCAUUGGAUAUUAUAGGAUAUUCAAACUAUUUUCUUUUUCAGACACUGAUCUGAAAUAUAAAAGCGUGUUAGAAGCAGCUUUUGCUGGAUUUGUUCAAGGGAGGGUUAUACAGAAUUUUAAGUUGUUCUCUUGUGUGAUUGCACAGGGUCCCAUCACAGGCCCUCAUAUUAAACUGUACAGCAGAAGUUUCAAUUCACUUUUAUCUAUACACACACACCAAAUUACAACAACAGUCACCUGCUAGUGAGACUGUUAGUCACACAGAUGGUGGACAGAAAGUAAUUUUGAAUUUAGAAAAAUAAAAUGACUCAACUAACAUUUACUGCUGUAUUUAUUAUUAUUACCCCUUUUUCUGUGCUCCUACAUCUAUGACAAUGUAUGUGUGACAGGUGAGACCUGAGUCUGGGAACCGCCCCUGGUGGGCGGAGCUGGUCUUUGCUCCUUUCAUAAGCUCAGGUGUGGGCAAUUAGGUAUUCCUCAGCAAACCUGAAGCUGCCAGUGCUUGGUCCAAGUUGGGCAAGUUGGUGUUUUUAAUUUCUUUCCGUGAAAGCUUGAUGCGGGUCCCCCUCAAGUUCUGUCAGAACGGUGGGAAACAUUGCGUUCCGUGAGAACAGUGUAGUGGACUUCACCGCCACUGACCCACAUUUAUUAGGGUGUGAUGUGAACUUGUGGACAGAGUACCGAGCUGCUGCUUUGCCAAGUGGAUUUCUGGCUGCGGGCAAAGGACCCGACACAUCAGAGUGUUUUACUUUGUUUUAUACUGGUGUAAGUCGACAGACUGUGACUGCUGCGGCUGUAGAUUUUGUUUGUUUCUUGUUUUAUUUUUCUGUGUCAGUAGGCACCACAGAGAUUGGCUCUUUUAGUAUUUUAACCCCUUUUUUAAUACAUAUAUUGUCGCAGACGGUGAAGGUGCUGCAGGGAAAACUUUUUUUUUUUUUUUUAAAAACUGUUCCCCGCAGCGCUUGUCCUGUCUCACGGGCAAUCAUACAGUUUUAUCGUUCUUAAUAAGGUAAAGUUCUUAAUUGUUUUUAAGGUGCACUGUUAUACUGUUUCUUUUAUUUUGUAUUAAAAAUGAAACUGUGUGUGUGUGUGUGUGUGUGUGUGUGUGUGUGCGCGCUUCAGAGCACCUACACUAGCGCAUGUACAAUCAGUAAGUGUACAUUCACAUUUGUGAUUCCAAAACAGGUCUUACAUAGUUGAUGUGAAAUAUUUCAUGCACUUUUGUUUUUUUUGUAUUAUGCAUUAAAGUUAUGCAAGGCAAUUGUAAUGUAUUUAAACCAAUCCAGGGGGAAGUAUCUCCUUUUUAGCUUCAGUGACACAUAUACUUCACACCCCUUAAACUAGAUGUUAAUGUUCUCAAAGUUAACACGGCUCAUGUUACCAUGACACUGCUAAAACACAGCUUCGCCGGAUUCCCUAUAGACUCUCAGAUGGAAACACCAACAAUCUAGAUAUUUACAGAUAUACGUCAAGCCAUCUUUAAUGUCUUAAGUUUUGUUGUUUUUAUGUUUUACUAAAUACUAAUUAUUCUGGGAUAUUUAUUGCCAAACUACGCAAUCUUCCAAAUCUGUGUGGAGUACAAAGUUGUAACCAAGAAUCAAUAUCAGAAAAAGUCUGUUUACGUGGCUUUUAUGAAACUGAUUUUCAAUAGUACAGCCAACGUCUAACUUUUCUUUGGCUCUCCAGUAUAAAUGCAUGUUUUUGCAUGCUUUAUUGAAACUGUCACACAAUUUAACAUUCAAUGCAUGUUUCUAUGGACACUGUUUCAUACAUCAACUGCUCUGAAAAUCACUUUUAAAGUAAUGUAGAACAUAAUCUGACAAUCACCUCUAAACAAGGGGGGUUAGUUUAUAUGGCUUUUUUCUUGGAUUUGUUUUGUUUUUUUAUCAGCCGCAACACCAUGUAAUGCCUGGAUGUUAGACUCUUUUACAAGAACAUGUUGCUAGCCUAACCACCGGGCUCCGGGUCUCUGAACUCUAACCCUGGCUGCCAAAUGUGCCUCUGAGCCUCUUGUGCCUUUUUACUACCAGACUAAGUUUGUAGUCUCACCUACUAAUAUUAUUUUAAUAUAGCACAAUAUUCAGCUAGGUUACUACUUUGACUUUUAUAAUUUAAGCACAUUUCUGAGCCCAUACAUUAUCAAACUUUCUACUCGAGUGUUUCUGACAGCUAUACCUCUACUUAAGUCAAAAUCAUGAUGCUUUUGUGUAGGUAUUUAUUACUGGGGCUAUAUUUGCAAAUGGUGGUCUACUGGAGUGCAAAAUGUUGAAAAGCGUUACUAAUAUUGUGUUUAAUUAAUUGGAAGGUAAGGGCAUUUUUCAAUUUUCAUUUCAUGUUUUUGACUCAAAGUGACAAAUACGUUUUUGAAAUUAGUUCUGUGAGACUAAUAUUGCCUGGCUAUAGCUAAGGAGGUAGAGUGGGUCAUCUACUAAUUGGAAUCGAUCCCUAGCUGCUCCUAUCUGCAUGCCAAAUAUUCUUGGGCAAGUUACAAAUCCCAAGCUGCUCUAUGGUGCAUUCAUUCAGAGAAUGAAUACUAGAUAGAAAGUGCUUGUAUGAAUGGGUGAAUAAGACAAGUUGUGUAAAGCCCUUUGAGUGGUCAGAGUAAAAAAGUGUUAUAUAAGAACCAGUUCAUUUGACCCGUUGUCAGUGGUGACAAAGGCUCCUAUUUAUUCAUUAUUGGUAACUAUUAGCCAUUAAAGUCCACCCACUAAAAGUUCUUGUUUUUGUUGCUGACAGGCUGCUAUUAUAAAUGUCUCACAAAACUAACUCUGACUCUACAUCAUGUUUCUCCUCAUUGCUUCUCUACUGCCCUUCUUUUUGUUCCUUGCUAGAUAUUUUCAUUUGUUGUUGUGAAUUAAAAGUUCAUUUGAACUAAACCAGAGUUGAUGAUUAAACAGUGUAAAGGCAAGCCAAGACUUUUUUUUAAAAUUUUGUUUCUGUCAAGCUUACAUGAAAAGUCUUUUGUGAUGCUAAAAUUAAUGUCUCUGUAAAUGGAACCAUGCUUUGAACAAAGAAAUAUAAGCUGCUCCUUCUGAUCAAACAAAAGGAUAUUAUUCUUUCAACAUCUUUUUAAAAGUCUUCAUAGUUUUGUGAAACACUAUGAAGAGGUUUAUCUCUGUGCAU